AAAUUGAAGAGUUUGAUCAUGGCUCAGAUUGAACGCUGGCGGCAGGCCUAACACAUGCAAGUCGAACGGUAACAGGAAGCAGCUUGCUGCUUUGCUGACGAGUGGCGGACGGGUGAGUAAUGUCUGGGAAACUGCCUGAUGGAGGGGGAUAACUACUGGAAACGGUGGCUAAUACCGCAUAACGUCGCAAGACCAAAGAGGGGGACCUUCGGGCCUCUUGCCAUCAGAUGUGCCCAGAUGGGAUUAGCUGGUUGGUGAGGUAACGGCUCACCAAGGCGACGAUCCCUAGCUGGUCUGAGAGGAUGACCAGCCACACUGGAACUGAGACACGGUCCAGACUCCUACGGGAGGCAGCAGUGGGGAAUAUUGCACAAUGGGCGCAAGCCUGAUGCAGCCAUGCCGCGUGUAUGAAGAAGGCCUUCGGGUUGUAAAGUACUUUCAGCGGGGAGGAAGGUGUUGUGGUUAAUAACCACAGCAAUUGACG
Molecule: ribosomal RNA, 484 nt
Filed under: Salmonella enterica
Lineage: Bacteria; Pseudomonadati; Pseudomonadota; Gammaproteobacteria; Enterobacterales; Enterobacteriaceae
Description: bacterial SSU rRNA
Rfam family: Bacterial small subunit ribosomal RNA
Source: RNAcentral